RNAcentral lists this transfer RNA (92 nucleotides) under Candidatus Omnitrophota bacterium. Its description in RNAcentral is "Candidatus Omnitrophica bacterium (sediment metagenome) tRNA-Ser". It matches the Rfam family "tRNA". Rfam says of the family: Transfer RNA (tRNA) molecules are approximately 80 nucleotides in length. Their secondary structure includes four short double-helical elements and three loops (D, anti-codon, and T loops). Further hydrogen bonds mediate the characteristic L-shaped molecular structure. tRNAs have two regions of fundamental functional importance: the anti-codon, which is responsible for specific mRNA codon recognition, and the 3' end, to which the tRNAs corresponding amino acid is attached (by aminoacyl-tRNA synthetases). tRNAs cope with the degeneracy of the genetic code in two manners: having more than one tRNA (with a specific anti-codon) for a particular amino acid; and 'wobble' base-pairing, i.e. permitting non-standard base-pairing at the 3rd anti-codon position. The record is from RNAcentral. Lineage: Bacteria; Pseudomonadati; Candidatus Omnitrophota.
GGAGAGGUGGCCGAGUGGUUUAAGGCGCACGCCUGGAAAGCGUGUGGGUAUCGCAAGGUGCCUCGAGAGUUCGAAUCUCUCCCUCUCCGCCA